AGAGUGUAAUGCAGCCAAGGAUGACUUGCCGCCGAGGUCACACCGAGGUAAUGGUGAUGGCAUUGCAAUAAGUAGUUCAAUCGGCAAGUUGUUCUUGGCUACAUUGGGCUCUCU
This 114-nucleotide microRNA precursor is filed under the name Macleaya cordata. Lineage: Eukaryota; Viridiplantae; Streptophyta; Magnoliopsida; Ranunculales; Papaveraceae. The record is from RNAcentral.